Pieris rapae (cabbage white) is the source of this 975-nucleotide long non-coding RNA. RefSeq lists it as uncharacterized. The record is from RefSeq and is a predicted model, not a curated record. The transcript is spliced from 2 exons. NCBI's taxonomy places the organism in Eukaryota, Metazoa, Arthropoda, Insecta, Lepidoptera, Pieridae.
UAUUAUUUGAUAUUUCGUUAGAUGUCAAUCGUAUGACAUAUGUAUUUUCGAAAAAUAUAAUUUUGUGACGAAAACAAACUUAACAAAGGUUUUCUUAAAAUGUUGUUCUAGUAAUCCACAUUUGUAACUCCGAACUUCGGGUUUAGAAUAGAUAAGAAUACUUUGGCUCUACUCACCACCGUACUGAAAACUAGUCUUCUCAAUGGCAGAUCCUCCUGCCCCUAGGGUUCAUCAACCCCCUCCUGAGCCCAGGUCACGUCAAGCCCCUCCUGAGCUUAGGCCUCGCCAGGCCCCACCAGAACCCAAAAAUGCUAAUGCCUUGCCUCCACCCCAGCCUAGAGAACGGCACCCGCCACCCCAGCCUCGAGAACGGCAUCAACCACCCCAACCACGCGAAAGGCACACUCCACCUCAACCAAGAGUAAGGCAACCCCCAAACACAUAACACUGACAUUUUUAUUUACAAUUUCUAUUCCACUCAAUCAUGCAUCAGUUUUGUAAUAUUCAAUUUAAAAUAUCAUAACACAUUUAGGGCAAAUAAUACUAGUUUAAAUGGGUUAUGAAACAUUAGGGGACUCCUUUACAUUAAUGUUUUGUUCUUAUCUAGGUAAAUAUAAUAGGUUAUUUGAGACAAAGUAUUAAUUGUGGGGCUAAAUUUAUUUAUGUGUGGACAAACGAUAAUUCUGAAAAAUAUCAACCAUAUGUUUAAGUGAGAAAUAUAUGUGUUAUGUCUUCUGUUAGAAUCCAUUGGAUUUUGGAUGGGUGAAUAUAGUUAGUUGGGAUUAAGAUUUCCUAAUUUGUGUUACAUAUAUUCAUAUUUCUUAAGUUGUUAAAAGAUUAACAUAGUUUAUAGUACUACUUUACACUUAAUGUACGGAUUCAGUAAUAUAUGUUUUGAAUAUGAGAGCGGUUGCUACUUAGUGCUAUGUCUGAACUCUGUAUUGUAUCCUUUAAAAUGAUAGAGAAUGGAAUUUU